UUUAAAUCUAAAAAUGAUAAUAAAUUAUCCUAUAUUA
This 37-nucleotide transfer RNA is filed under the name Calliobdella vivida. Its description in RNAcentral is "partial tRNA-Leu". Lineage: Eukaryota; Metazoa; Annelida; Clitellata; Hirudinida; Piscicolidae. The record is from RNAcentral.